AGUGAACGCUGGCGGUAGGCCUAACACAUGCAAGUCGAACGGCAGCACAGUAAGAGCUUGCUCUUACGGGUGGCGAGUGGCGGACGGGUGAGGAAUACAUCGGAAUCUACUUUUUCGUGGGGGAUAACGUAGGGAAACUUACGCUAAUACCGCAUACGACCUACGGGUGAAAGCAGGGGAUCUUCGGACCUUGCGCGAUUGAAUGAGCCGAUGUCGGAUUAGCUAGUUGGCGGGGUAAAGGCCCACCAAGGCGACGAUCCGUAGCUGGUCUGAGAGGAUGAUCGGCCACACUGGAACUGAGACACGGUCCAGACUCCUACGGGAGGCAGCAGUGGGGAAUAUUGGGCAAUGGGCGCAAGCCUGAUCCAGCCAUACCGCGUGGGUGAAGGAGGCCUUCGGGUUGUAAAGCCCUUUUGUUGGGAAAGAAAAGCAGCAGGUUAAUACCCCGCUGUUCUGACGGUACCCAAAGAAUAAGCACCGGCUAACUUCGUG
This 492-nucleotide ribosomal RNA is filed under the name uncultured bacterium. RNAcentral describes it as "partial 16S ribosomal RNA". It matches the Rfam family "Bacterial small subunit ribosomal RNA", at positions 29 to 507 of the family's 1533-position model. The record is from RNAcentral.